RNAcentral lists this ribosomal RNA (458 nucleotides) under uncultured bacterium. RNAcentral's name for it is "bacterial SSU rRNA". It matches the Rfam family "Bacterial small subunit ribosomal RNA", at positions 339 to 794 of the family's 1533-position model. The record is from RNAcentral.
GUACGGGAGGCAGCAGUGAGGAAUAUUGGUCAAUGGGCGCAAGCCUGAACCAGCCAUCCCGCGUGCAGGAAGAAGGCGCUAUGCGUUGUAAACUGCUUUUCCAGGGGGCGAAUAGCUUCUACGUGUAGAGGCAUGACGGUACCCUGGGAAUAAGCAUCGGCUAACUCCGUGCCAGCAGCCGCGGUAAUACGGAGGAUGCGAGCGUUAUCCGGAUUUAUUGGGUUUAAAGGGUGCGUAGGCGGAUAGAUAAGUCAGUGGUGAAAACCUGCAGCUUAACUGUAGAACUGCCGUUGAUACUGUCAGUCUUGAGUGUGGUCAAGGUAGGCGGAAUGUGUAAUGUAGCGGUGAAAUGCUUAGAUAUUACACAGAACACCGAUUGCGAAGGCAGCUUACUGGACCAUUACUGACGCUGAUGCACGAAAGCGUGGGGAGCGAACAGGAUUAGAUACCCCGGUAGA